CUGGACAUUUCCAGAGUAGAUGGUUCUUCCCCCAAAUUACAAGGAAUGGAGGCUGGGAAACUACAUUUCUGAGACUCCUUCAUCAUCAGGAUGCCAGAUAAUAUUUUAAGUAAGGAAAAUAAAAUUAACUUUUCUGGGGCGAGAUGACAGACGAAUGUGCAAAGGCUUUCCUGUUUUCAAGAAGCAGUUUCUUACACUAUGCUUUUUAUUCACGUUAAAUGAAAUUCUAUUAGAAUAAAUUGUAUCAUGAGUUUUUAAAUAAAAUA
RNAcentral lists this long non-coding RNA (266 nucleotides) under Homo sapiens (human). RNAcentral describes it as "non-protein coding LINC01899:11". Lineage: Eukaryota; Metazoa; Chordata; Mammalia; Primates; Hominidae. The record is from RNAcentral.